RNAcentral lists this long non-coding RNA (341 nucleotides) under Capsella rubella. RNAcentral's name for it is "long non-coding RNA (CRUB_LNC001869)". The record is from RNAcentral. Lineage: Eukaryota; Viridiplantae; Streptophyta; Magnoliopsida; Brassicales; Brassicaceae.
GGCGAGGUGUCUCGUAAUCACGUAAUCACUUAUUUAGUUCUUCACGUCUUUAUCAAACUUCCACCCUCUAAAGCAAUAGUCCCUCCCCCCCCGUAUUCACAUUUGACACCCACAUUUUUAAAAAAAUUUCUUUCUUUUUGGUCACAUGUAUAUUACAUUUUAAAUGUGUUUGUGUGUGUGAGCAAAUGGACAAUGCAUAAAUGGAUAUGAAAAAAAAAAAACCCAUAUUAGUUUAAUAAUACUCAUAACACUCCCUGUAAAGCAAGGGGAUUUUUGUAGCGUUGAAUAAAUAUAGUAAACGGCUUGUUAAUCUUAAUCUAAUGACUUAAUGAACAUCCUCC